CGCUGAUAAGACCUUAUUCUAAUCACACGUCACCUGGCAUCGAUAUAGUCGUGCGCGGACUUUUUACGCAAUUUCUCACGCUCCAUCUGACGCAAUUGCUUCGGUCCUUCGGUCUUUCGGUCCUUCGAUCAACCACGUAUUCGCGCGCAUUUUGUCCUGACUGGUCUCGUCUUUCUUUCACUCUCUGUCUCUUUUUCUUCCUUCCUCUUUACCUCGUCCGUUUCGCGUGUAUGAAACUGACGCAGCUGGUGGCACCUUGAUGCAGCGGAUCGCGCGGCCCGAUCCAGGAAUUUUCCCGGAUCUUUGGAUCGGUCGAUCGAACACGUCAGCUCGCCCCUAACUCUCUCUUUGCUGCAUCGAACGCAUACGUAAUUACCUUGGCUCGCGCGAUUAUAUCCGCGCGAUCCCUCGAUAGUCACGUACGAUUUGUUCGUAUCACGCUGGAUACGUGCUCACUGCUCAGCCACGGGAUGUACCGCAGUAACUCAGCCACAUCCCGUGCUCCGAUGUACGAUUCGAUGCCGGCAAAGAUACCGCAAAAGAAUCGUGAUUCGUCGAUUUCCGUGCCGAUUUGCUUCUCGUGUUGGCAGCUUGGAACCGCGGCAACUGGCUUCCGCGGCGAUGGAUCGGCAAUCGAUUCCGUUCCUUGUAUCGUUUAGUCCGCUUCCGACGUUCGACUACUAACGUUGCUGGCGCUCGGUCGCGCGCGUAUGCUAUCAAUCGGCCACGUGUUUUCUCCUACUCGUGCCACAAACAACGUUCGAUCGUGGAUAAAACGUACAGUGUGUUUCUAACGAUUCGCUUCUUGCCAUUGCGUGUAAAUGUGACACUGUUAGACGUCACUGAGGAAGGCUGUUGCACUGGAUCUGCCGAAGGUCGAAUAUCGACACCGGACGCGGACAGCAGAAAUUAGGUGAACCGCUCGAGACAGACUUUUUGUUUUUCUCGCCGUGCUCGCGUAGAGAUCGUGUAAGUUGACGUGUAUAGAGAAAAAGAACUUGGUCCGCAGUCCGCAACAAGAAUUCCGAUGUUACGUAACGGAGAAAUAGAAUGAACGAGCGUUCAACGGGUGACGCUCUUUUUGUGAACUCGAUAAAUACCACGUGUCGGAUCGUUGACAUUGAGGAACAGAUUUUGUGUGAAGUUUAUGAUUAAGUUCGACCAGAGAGUACGAGUUCCUCGAAUAGGAAAGGCCGGAGAAUCGUUUAGUGAAAGCGAGAGCGGCGCUAAGUGUUUGUGAAAUCGUGAAACUGCGACACCACGUGUGUGACAUCUAUUACUUGACUUGUGAUAGGUGGAUCGUAAAAUUUACCGUUUUCUUUCUGCUAUGACUAGAACGACAAGAUUUCUCGACACACUGGUGCGGUUUUCAUAGAAAAUCUUGUGAUAUUGGCCGAUAUAGGGAGGGCAUUACGCUUCCUUUUCAAUGCAAUUUGUUGGAUUAAUGGCAAGUUGUACGUUCUAUAGAAAAUUGACAUCGGCAGGGAAUGUUAACACGGUGUAAGAAGAAGAGGAAGAAGAAGCAGGCAUCCAGGAAAAUUUAUUUCAAUGCGGAACACACGAACCAGUACUGCUUGUACGCACGGCUGACCUCGAUAGGGCUUUCGCUCGUGUCUAAGGAAGAAUGAAAAGGAAACGAAGGAGCCGAAGAAAACGAGAACUGGUGCGUGCCGUAGCUGAUCCUGCAGCAGUCGCGCGUUUGCGAAGCGCGGCGUGAAAAAAACCGAGAAAGAAAGAGGAGACCGAGUUUCCGUUAGCAAGACGAGGAGGGAAACUAAGAUCGGAUCGAAGGGAAAGAGACGGGACAAGGGUGGAAGAGACGUCGGAAGAAAGCGCGGUGGAAAGCAGAAGAAGGCAAAGGAAGACCGUGUAAAAUAUAAGGUAAGAGAAGCAAAUAGGCCGGAACGGGACGAGAGAGAAACGAUCGGAGCAGGAUCGGGAACCGACGACGAGCGCAGCGACAAGGAAGACGAGGUGGAGGAAUCGUGACACGGGCGCGUGUGCAACAGGCGAUUUCUGAGCGAUUUAUCUUGCCAGGUUUGCAGGUGUUCGCGUGCGUCCUUCGUGGCCUUGUUAACGGGCUUCCUCUUUCUCUAGCCCGCCCCGGAUAGGCUUUUAUCGUUCCUCUACCGGCGACCUUCCAAAGACACACCGUGCCGUGAAAUAAUAGCACGGUUCAAAAUAGACGGAAAUCAGAGGUCAGAUUCGAGAAGCGGGAAAGGAAGAGGAAUAGAGAGCGAAAGAGCGAUGUUGCUAAUCGCAAGAGGCGAGUGACGUCUCCGUGGAAUUCCAGGGAAUCGGAGGAAAGCGCGGUGACGUACGAACUGGUGCGAAAGAGGAAGGAUCGGAGAAAGAACGAGGGAAGAAAGGGUGAGGAGGAGGAGGAGGAGGAGGAGGUGGAGGAGGUGGUGGAGGAAGAAGAAGAGGAGG
Bombus impatiens (common eastern bumble bee) is the source of this 2430-nucleotide long non-coding RNA. RefSeq lists it as uncharacterized. NCBI's taxonomy places the organism in Eukaryota, Metazoa, Arthropoda, Insecta, Hymenoptera, Apidae. The transcript has 3 exons. The record is from RefSeq and is a predicted model, not a curated record.